AUACGGAGGGUGCAAGCGUUACUCGGAAUCACUGGGCGUAAAGCGCGCGCAGGCGGUCUUUUAAGUUGGAUGUGAAAGCCUACGGCUCAACCGUAGAACUGCAUCCAAAACUAUUUAGCUAGAGUGUGGGAGAGGAAGAUGGAAUUAGUUGUGUAGGGGUAAAAUCCGUAGAGAUAACUAGGAAUACCAAAAGCGAAGGCAAUCUUCUGGAACACUACUGACGCUGAGGCGCGAAGGCGUGGGGAGCAAACAGGAUUAGAUACCCUGGUAGUCC
RNAcentral lists this ribosomal RNA (274 nucleotides) under uncultured bacterium. Its description in RNAcentral is "partial 16S ribosomal RNA". It matches the Rfam family "Bacterial small subunit ribosomal RNA", at positions 523 to 796 of the family's 1533-position model. The record is from RNAcentral.